This 607-nucleotide transfer RNA is filed under the name uncultured Prochlorococcus sp. RNAcentral's name for it is "partial contains 16S ribosomal RNA, 16S-23S ribosomal RNA intergenic spacer, and 23S ribosomal RNA". The stretch from base 226 to 298 matches the Rfam family "tRNA". Lineage: Bacteria; Bacillati; Cyanobacteriota; Cyanophyceae; Synechococcales; Prochlorococcaceae. The record is from RNAcentral.
UGGAUCACCUCCUAACAGGGAGACAACAAAAUGUUAAAUAUUAAUUUUGUCACCUUAGGUCGAUCGGUAUCUCACGUUCUUAAUUUAUUAAGGAUUUCACUUCCUAAGUUUUUUCUAGGUCACACCCAUUAUUUUCCCUGGGCCAUUAGCUCAGGUGGUUAGAGCGCACCCCUGAUAAGGGUGAGGUCCCUGGUUCAAGUCCAGGAUGGCCCAUAUCUCUAUGUUGGGGGUAUAGCUCAGUUGGUAGAGCGCCUGCUUUGCAAGCAGGAUGUCAGCGGUUCGAGUCCGCUUACCUCCACUGAUUACCACCUCUUCCAUAAUCAAUAGAAAGGGAAUCUUAUGUGUUGUGAUCAAAUUCCGAACGAAUCUAGCUUCCUAAUGAAAUCAUUAAGAUGCUGGACUCAUUGAAUUAUUUUCAUUGUUUUCAGAGAACCUUGACAACUGCAUAGAUUAUUUUUAAAGACAAUAAGCAUCUUAAUGAUGCAGAUUUUUAUUUGCGCGAAUGCAUUAAUAACAAUUCUAUUAAGCUGAUGCUUCAAUUUUGAAGUUAUUGGUCAAGCUACAAAGGGCUCACGGAGGAUACCUAGGCACACAGAGGCGAUGAAGG